RNAcentral lists this ribosomal RNA (377 nucleotides) under uncultured bacterium. RNAcentral's name for it is "bacterial SSU rRNA". It matches the Rfam family "Bacterial small subunit ribosomal RNA", at positions 523 to 898 of the family's 1533-position model. The record is from RNAcentral.
AUACGUAGGGGGCAAGCGUUGUCCGGAAUUAUUGGGCGUAAAGCGCGCGCAGGCGGUCUCUUAAGUCUGAUGUGAAAGCCCACGGCUCAACCGUGGAGGGUCAUUGGAAACUGGGGGACUUGAGUGUAGGAGAGGAAAGUGGAAUUCCACGUGUAGCGGUGAAAUGCGUAGAGAUGUGGAGGAACACCAGUGGCGAAGGCGACUUUCUGGCCUAUAACUGACGCUGAGGCGCGAAAGCGUGGGGAGCAAACAGGAUUAGAUACCCUGGUAGUCCACGCCGUAAACGAUGAGUGCUAGGUGUUAGGGGUUUCGAUACCCUUAGUGCCGGCGUUAACACAUUAAGCACUCCGCCUGGGGAGUACGGCCGCAAGGUUGAA